RNAcentral lists this ribosomal RNA (253 nucleotides) under uncultured bacterium. Its description in RNAcentral is "partial 16S ribosomal RNA". It matches the Rfam family "Bacterial small subunit ribosomal RNA", at positions 524 to 776 of the family's 1533-position model. The record is from RNAcentral.
UACGUAGGGUGCAAGCGUUGUCCGGAAUUAUUGGGCGUAAAGAGCUCGUAGGCGGUCUGUCGCGUCGAAUGUGAAAACCCGGGGCUCAACCCCGGGCCUGCAUUCGAUACGGGCAGACUAGAGUUCGGUAGGGGAGACUGGAAUUCCUGGUGUAGCGGUGAAAUGCGCAGAUAUCAGGAGGAACACCGGUGGCGAAGGCGGGACUCUGGACCGAUACUGACGCUGAGGAGCGAAAGCGUGGGGAGCAAACAGG